Molecule: ribosomal RNA, 576 nt
Filed under: uncultured eukaryote
Lineage: Eukaryota
Description: SSU rRNA
Rfam family: Eukaryotic small subunit ribosomal RNA
Source: RNAcentral
UAUUUAUUAGAUAAAAAACCAAGGCCCUUCGGGGCUCCUUGGUGAAUCAUAAUAACUUAACGAAUCGCAUGGCCUUGCGCCGGCGAUGGUUCAUUCAAAUUUCUGCCCUAUCAACUUUCGAUGGUAGGAUAGUGGCCCACCAUGGUGGCAACGGGUAACGGGGAAUUAGGGUUCGAUUCCGGAGAGGGAGCCUGAGAAACGGCUACCACAUCCAAGGAAGGCAGCAGGCGCGCAAAUUACCCAAUCCCGAUACGGGGAGGUAGUGACAAUAAAUACUGAUACGGGGCUCUUUUGGGUCUCGUAAUUGGAAUGAGAACAAUUUAAAUCCCUUAACGAGGAACAAUUGGAGGGCAAGUCUGGUGCCAGCAGCCGCGGUAAUUCCAGCUCCAAUAGCGUAUAUUAAAGUUGUUGCAGUUAAAAAGCUCGUAGUUGAACCUUGGGUCUGGCUGGCCGGUCCGCCUCACCGCGAGUACUGGUCCGGCUGGACCUUUCCUUCUGGGGAACCUCAUGGCCUUCACUGGCUGUGGGGGGAACCAGGACUUUUACUGUGAAAAAAUUAGAGUGUUCAAAGCAGGC